GGGGCGGUAGCUCAGCUGGGAGAGCGCUACGUUCGCAUCGUAGAGGUCGUGGGUUCGAUCCCCAUCCGCUCCA
RNAcentral lists this transfer RNA (73 nucleotides) under Rhodanobacter lindaniclasticus. It matches the Rfam family "tRNA". From Rfam's summary of the family: Transfer RNA (tRNA) molecules are approximately 80 nucleotides in length. Their secondary structure includes four short double-helical elements and three loops (D, anti-codon, and T loops). RNAcentral also lists the same sequence under 1 other name. The record is from Rfam by way of RNAcentral. Lineage: Bacteria; Pseudomonadati; Pseudomonadota; Gammaproteobacteria; Lysobacterales; Rhodanobacteraceae.